Molecule: non-coding RNA, 116 nt
Organism: Peromyscus maniculatus bairdii (prairie deer mouse)
Lineage: Eukaryota; Metazoa; Chordata; Mammalia; Rodentia; Cricetidae
Source: RefSeq, a predicted model, not a curated record
GUAGCCUGGACAUAGAGCGGAAGGUGCUACCCCAGCUGCUGGAGGGAAAAGAAGACGUUAAUGAUGUUUGUGACCCAGCAGACAGCAACGCCUUGGGACGGUUGGUUACAUCUACA